Molecule: long non-coding RNA, 1124 nt
Filed under: Phascolarctos cinereus (koala)
Lineage: Eukaryota; Metazoa; Chordata; Mammalia; Diprotodontia; Phascolarctidae
Description: lncRNA (ENSPCIG00000033905.1)
Source: RNAcentral
CACUAAGUCCCUUUGGGCCUCAGUUUUUCCAUCUGUAAAGUGAAGAGGUCAGAACUAGCUGAUAUGGAAGCUCUCUUCCAGGUUUAAAGUCUAUACUAAUUGUCCUCAUCACUCUAUGUGGUUCCUCUUUUUAGGAUGGUAUUAACUGCCCUAGGAAGAGUUUAAUGCCUACUCAGUUUUGGCCACAGCAAAGGAAGGUGAGCCCAAACCACUGCAGGAAUUACCAUUUUCCCUUAAGCAAUAGGGGAACUGGGCCCUUGGAAAAUGCUCAUAGCUCCAGGAGCCAGAAAUCUGCACGGAUUCAUGGCACAGGUGUGUUUCACAAAUCUCAGCUGCUCCCCUAACCACGUCCAAUAGUCUUAGGCGGACCCUAGUAAGACUACAGCUGUUAGGUCCCCCUGACAUUAUUGUAGGGGGUUAGGGAGCAGCUGAGCUGUCCUCGGGUCCCCCAAAGGAUGAUGCCGGCUCUGCAGAGUUUCGUCCUAGCUGGAGAAGGAAGCGACGUGUUCCAGGGGAGAAACGGUGAGCUUGGUGGUUUGGGAGCAUCCGCGUCAAUUCCCCCUUGAGAUUAUCUGCUCAGGGAAAGUGGGAAGGGUGAGGGAGGGGACGAUGACCGACAGCAGGUGAAUCAUCUGUGAUCUCGUUUUUCUCAGGCUUUCUUGACUUUUUUUUUAUCCCCUUAAUGCUCGAGAAAACGAAAGCUGCCCUUGCUGAAAACGAGUUGCUUUUGAAACUUGUCCUGGCAGGAAGGAGGAGGAAGGAACUCGGCCUUCCUACCCUGGAAGACAGGCAGCAAGAGGGUCGGCUGUAGGUGUAAUAGACUUGGACUGCUGACUUGGCGUCUUGCUGCCCGGUAAAAGCUGCUUGUGCUUGGAGGAGUGGACGCUUCCUACAGUCUUGGUAGCUGCGGGGGAGCCCUCCUGAGAUUGAGAGCCAGCUUUGGCGAGACUGGGAUUCCUGGACCAUCGGGCAUUCUUGUAAGAGAACUCCGUGCAUGCCUGGCUAGAUUGUUCUGAAGGAACGGAGUUUCCUGGCCAGGUGGGUGCAAUAGUUGAUUCAGUAUCUCAUUGCUUGGAUUAAUUUUUAAAAUUCAGGAGUGGGAGCGCCACUAGAAUCUAGAGGGC